This 442-nucleotide ribosomal RNA is filed under the name uncultured bacterium. Its description in RNAcentral is "partial 16S ribosomal RNA". It matches the Rfam family "Bacterial small subunit ribosomal RNA", at positions 338 to 795 of the family's 1533-position model. The record is from RNAcentral.
CCUACGGGUGGCUGCAGUGGGGAAUAUUGGGCAAUGGGCGCAAGCCUGACCCAGCAACGCCGCGUGAAGGAAGAAGGCUUUCGGGUUGUAAACUUCUUUUGUCAGGGAAGAGUAGAAGACGGUACCUGCCGCAUAAGCCACGGCUCACUACGUGCCAGCAGCCGCGGUAAUACGUAUGUGGCAAGCGUUGUCCGGAUUUCCUGGGUGUAAAGGGCGUAUAGCCGGGUUGACAAGUUAGAUGUGAAAUCCUGCGGCUUAACAGCAGAACUGCAGUUGAAACUGUUGAUCUUGAGUACUGGAGAGGCAGAUGGAAUUGCUAGUGUAGCGGUGAAAUGCAUAGAUAUCACACAGAACACCGAUUGCGAAGGCAUCUCACGAAGCCGCGAUUGACGCUGAUGCACGAAAGCGUGGGUAUCAAACAGGAUUAGAUACCCGAGUAGUC